GAGUGGAUAGCCAAGUGGUCAAAGGCAGGAGAGUCAAAUCCUCCCGGUAUAGUCCUUCGCAGGUUCGAAUCCUGCUCCGCUCA
This 83-nucleotide transfer RNA is filed under the name Halogranum tailed virus 1. RNAcentral describes it as "Halovirus HGTV-1 tRNA". It matches the Rfam family "tRNA". From Rfam's summary of the family: Transfer RNA (tRNA) molecules are approximately 80 nucleotides in length. Lineage: Duplodnaviria; Heunggongvirae; Uroviricota; Caudoviricetes; Thumleimavirales; Halomagnusviridae. The record is from Rfam by way of RNAcentral.